GGGGGUGAUCGGUUUCGACUUCGACGGUUGAUAUGAGAGAAGCGAGCCGUGGUCUCCGGAGCCACGUUAAAGAGCCGGAACAUUUACAAACGCCAAUGUCAAAACUAAUGACCUGGCGCUCGCUGCCUAAUUUAGGCAACGGGUAACGGCCCCACUGCCUCAGCCUCUCGGGUAGCGGUGGUCCUCAUCUGAGAGGCUUGCCUUCAGUCAUCGCCGGUGUGAUUGAAGGGACUUUUAGCCGGAUACGGUUGCUUGAUCUGGGGUCGCUACCAGCUCGCAGCCCGACAAUUCGCAAAGCGACUGCGCUCGGAGAAGACUCAUUGAAACGCCGGGGGACGCGGGUUCGAUUCCCGCCACCUCCACUA
RNAcentral lists this transfer-messenger RNA (365 nucleotides) under Acidimicrobiales. RNAcentral's name for it is "MedAcidi-G3 sp002722565 Standard tmRNA". It matches the Rfam family "transfer-messenger RNA". Rfam says of the family: Bacterial tmRNA, also known as 10Sa RNA or SsrA, is named for its dual tRNA and mRNA-like properties. The record is from RNAcentral. Lineage: Bacteria; Bacillati; Actinomycetota; Acidimicrobiia. RNAcentral also lists the same sequence under 1 other name.